GGCAACUCUUUUGUAAACCGUUGUGGUAGGAUAUAUAAAAUCCCAAAAGAACGCAGCUCGAAAACAUAAAAUCCCAAAUUGAUUCUUGUUCUCAUAUUGGUUCAUCCCCAAAUUGAAUCUACUUCUCAAAAUCGAUUCCGGUCGAAAAGAAAACACAAACUAAACCCUAAUUCGUUUCGUUGUGUUGAUUGUGUUCACAAACUCAGAAAAUUGAUUCUUCUCCCUAAACUCAUGAACCCUAAUCCGUUCAGUUGAUGUGCUUACAGGUUUGUCGUCAAGUUGAUUACAUCUGUGUCUGUGUUUUUUGCCUUUUGAUAUCAUUAACUCCUCUUGCAGUAAAAACUGUUAACUAGUGAGUAUGUGGCAAAUUGCAAAAUAAUAUGCAAGAGGUAAUUUGAGUUUGUAUCAUUUUGUUUCAUGCUAUAAUAUCUAUGAGAAUUCUGCAUAAUUGGUACUGAUUAAGAUGCCUAUACUGAUUUGAGAUGAUUGAUUCUAUGAUCAUCUUUGUUAAAGAAUCAAGUUUUGUUGAACUUCAUAAGGGUACUUGUGUUUUUAAUGUGUUCUCACUUUAAUUUUUAUGUUCAAAUUUCAGAUCCAUUGAAGAUUGCUAUAGAUACAUAUACAAUUAACUCCUAUUAUAUAGUAUAAGCUCCUUUGUUUUUUAUUUUCUUCAUGUGUAUUAAUACAUAAAAGGUUUGUUUUGACAAUGAAUAAUAACAGGUUGGAUUCAUUGUGGAUUUUAUAUCUCAUGCUGCAAUUGUGAUUCGUCUUCAACAGUUGAAGGGACUCGCUGCCACGCUACACCACUAUAGCGCGCUAACAACACAGACCUGACUGAUUAAUAGCAUCAUGGCAAAGACAAGGUCUAAUAGUUUAUAAAAUCUUGACUUAAUUUUUUCUUCUUUUUUUUCCUCUUGAAGAUAUUAUGUUUCUUUCUUUCUUCCUCUUGAAUAUAUUGUAGUGUUUAUGUGGUUAAGAUUUUUGUCAAUUUUCAAGUUAAGGAAGAAACUUAGCACAACAACAUUAUUGUUUUUUAUUUUAGUUUUCUUGUGAUCCUGCUGUUUUAAGAUCAGGCAAAGCUCAUGUCUUAGUCUAUGGAAUGUAAGGAACAAUAGUUGAGGUAAAGCUUUAACUUGUCUAUAUGGUACCUCAAUUCUUACUUACAAUAUCCUUAAUUAAUUUGUUUUCUGCUUCUGCAUUGUUUUACUUUUUUGUUUUGGUUUUUCACAUCUUUUUUUUUGUUUAUCCUUUUAUGUUAAGAGAGUCUGAAAGUAAAGCUUUCACUCGAGCCGAAAGCUGAAAAAUGCUUUACAUGGAAAGGUCUAGAGUUAAGAGUAAAAUAAUCUGAUGAACUUAAAGCUGCUUGUGAACAAAGAGUUUCUACUGCAGAAGUUGAAACUUUAUGUAUAUUUCAAAUUUGAUUAAUGACUCAUUAUAUUAUUCUAUUCUAUUGUAUUUGAUUAAUAAUUCAAUGUAUUAUUUUAUUGUACGUGCUAGUAUCAAUGAAGCUGGGACUAAGUUUGGCACUCAUAAAUUUGCCUUCAUUGCAGUUGUUCUUGUUCAUGCAAAUUUCCCAUUGCAAUGAAUGCUGCAGAAACAAUUGACAAGUUUGGACUUCAUUCACCCCACUGGUGAAAAUAAUCCCAUGGUGGGUGUUGUCUUAACAAGUAUGGCUCUUAUGUAAAGGCGCAAAGGAAUUGAGCAACCAACAAAUUCGCUUGUGGUUCCAGAGAUGGUGAAUAAUGAUGAUAUCGAUGAAGAAAUGCAGGAUUUUGAAGAUAAAGAGAGAUCUAGAUGUUUAAGUUUUGUAAUAGGAUAUACAUUUUGAAGAUGUUAGUUUGAUUGCGAAUGAUUCACAUUAAGAUAUAUACAUUAAAGAUCCAAUAACUCUUUGCUGAUCAAUGAUAUUCUGAUAUAUUUGAAUGAAUGACAAUCAUUUUAUUUUAA
Molecule: long non-coding RNA, 1947 nt
Organism: Trifolium pratense (red clover)
Lineage: Eukaryota; Viridiplantae; Streptophyta; Magnoliopsida; Fabales; Fabaceae
Exons: 3
Source: RefSeq, a predicted model, not a curated record